This 25-nucleotide non-coding RNA is filed under the name Rattus norvegicus (Norway rat). Lineage: Eukaryota; Metazoa; Chordata; Mammalia; Rodentia; Muridae. The record is from RNAcentral.
UAAUGCCAUUGUCCCUGUCUGCUGA